This 254-nucleotide ribosomal RNA is filed under the name uncultured bacterium. Its description in RNAcentral is "partial 16S ribosomal RNA". It matches the Rfam family "Bacterial small subunit ribosomal RNA", at positions 524 to 776 of the family's 1533-position model. The record is from RNAcentral.
UACGGGGGGAGCAAGCGUUGUUCGGAUUUACUGGGCGUAAAGGGCGCGUAGGCGGCCACCGCAAGUCACUUGUGAAAUCUCCGGGCUUAACCCGGAAAGGUCAACUGAUACUGCGGGGCUAGAGUGCAGAAGGGGCAACUGGAAUUCUCGGUGUAGCGGUGAAAUGCGUAGAUAUCGAGAGGAACACCUGCGGCGAAGGCGGGUUGCUGGGCUGACACUGACGCUGAUGUGCGGAAGCUAGGGGAGCGAACGGG